GUGUCAGCAGCCGCGGUAAUACAGAGGGUGCGAGCGUUGUCCGGAAUCACUGGGCGUAAAGGGCGCGUAGGUGGCUUGGUAAGCGUGUGGUGAAAGCCUGGGGCUCAACCCCAGGUCUGCCGUGCGAACUGCCAAGCUUGAGCGUAGUAGAGGCAGGUGGAAUUUCGGGUGUAGCGGUGGAAUGCGUAGAUAUCCGAAAGAACACCGGUGGCGAAGGCGGCCUGCUGGGCUACUGCUGACACUGAGGCGCGACAGCGUGGGGAGCAAACAGGAUUAGAAACCCUAGUAGUCC
This 292-nucleotide ribosomal RNA is filed under the name uncultured bacterium. RNAcentral's name for it is "partial 16S ribosomal RNA". It matches the Rfam family "Bacterial small subunit ribosomal RNA", at positions 505 to 796 of the family's 1533-position model. The record is from RNAcentral.